AAGUCUGCACUGAUUCACAGGAAAUUAUAAACAUGCUACACCAUGGAAACUUACUUUAUGAUUCAGUUGGCUUUGAAUGGAGGUUACUACUAAGGAGCAUGGGGAAUCCUCCAGUCUACCACACCUAUCGGGAGCAGAAUAGGGUAGCUGACUUGAUGGCAAAGCAAGGCUCAGAGCAGGAUCUUUUUGACAGACUACAUGUUUUUGCAACUUCACCUGUUAGUGUAGGAGUAGUAUU
Molecule: long non-coding RNA, 238 nt
Filed under: Capsicum annuum
Lineage: Eukaryota; Viridiplantae; Streptophyta; Magnoliopsida; Solanales; Solanaceae
Description: long non-coding RNA (CANN_LNC010583)
Source: RNAcentral